AUUGAACGCUGGCGGCAGGCUUAACACAUGCAAGUCGAGCGGGGUGAUGGUGCUUGCACUAUCACUUAGCGGCGGACGGGUGAGUAAUGCUUAGGAAUCUGCCUAUUAGUGGGGGACAACAUCUCGAAAGGGAUGCUAAUACCGCAUACGUCCUACGGGAGAAAGCAGGGGAUCACUUGUGACCUUGCGCUAAUAGAUGAGCCUACGUCGGUUUAGCUAGUUGGUGUGGUAAAGGCCUACCAAGGCGAGGAGCGGUAGCGGGUCUGAGAGGAUGAUCCGCCACACUGGGACUGAGACACGGCCCCGACUCCUACGGUAGGCAGCAGUGGGGAAUAUUGGACAAUGGGGGGAACCCUGAUCCAGCCAUGCCGCGUGUGUGAAGAAGGCCUUAUGGUUGUAAAGCACUUUAAGCGAGGAGGAGGCUCUUUUGGUUAAUACCCAAGAUGAGUGGACGUUACUCGCAGAAUAAGCACCGGCUAACUCUGUGCCAGCCGCCGCAGUAA
Molecule: ribosomal RNA, 503 nt
Filed under: uncultured bacterium
Lineage: Bacteria
Description: partial 16S ribosomal RNA
Rfam family: Bacterial small subunit ribosomal RNA
Source: RNAcentral